This 229-nucleotide long non-coding RNA is filed under the name Elaeis guineensis (African oil palm). RNAcentral describes it as "long non-coding RNA (EGUI_LNC082436)". Lineage: Eukaryota; Viridiplantae; Streptophyta; Magnoliopsida; Arecales; Arecaceae. The record is from RNAcentral.
UCUAUGCUACCAUAUGCUGCCGCACGGGUGUUAAAUUAAGCAUUCCUUCAUAGAAGACAGAGGAAGGUUGUGAGGAAUGACUCCUAGGUUUGAAUGGAGACUCUUUAGGAUUCUUCAAGCUCAAGAUACUGAGAGUGAGAUGCAGCAAGGAGAGCUGCUCCAAUGCCUGAUCCGUCACUGGCAAGCUUGAUGACAAUAGAAGCUGUGGCUUCUUCUCCGAGCAUCUCUC